RNAcentral lists this ribosomal RNA (325 nucleotides) under uncultured eukaryote. RNAcentral's name for it is "partial 18S ribosomal RNA". It matches the Rfam family "Eukaryotic small subunit ribosomal RNA", at positions 1470 to 1796 of the family's 1831-position model. The record is from RNAcentral.
CCCUUAGAUGUCCUGGGCCGCACGCGCGCUACACUGAUGCAUUCAACGAGUAUUUCCUUGGCCGAGAGGCCUGGGCAAUCUUUUAAACCUGCAUCGUGAUAGGGAUAGAUUAUUGCAAUUAUUAAUCUUGAACGAGGAAUUCCUAGUAAACGCAAAUCAUCAAUUUGCAUUGAUUACGUCCCUGCCCUUUGUACACACCGCCCGUCGCACCUACCGAUUGAAUGGUCCGGUGAAAUCUCGGGAUUGUGGCCAGUUCACUUUAUUGGGAGUUGGCUGCGAGAACUUGUUUAAACCUUAUCAUUUAGAGGAAGGUGAAGUCGUAACA